This 405-nucleotide ribosomal RNA is filed under the name uncultured bacterium. RNAcentral's name for it is "partial 16S ribosomal RNA". It matches the Rfam family "Bacterial small subunit ribosomal RNA", at positions 30 to 526 of the family's 1533-position model. The record is from RNAcentral.
AUUGAACGCUAGCGGGAUGCUUUACACAUGCAAGUCGAACGAGUGGCGUACGGGUGGUUAAUAUAUCGGAACGUGCCCAGUCUCUGGGUCUACCUACUCGAUAGACUGGCUAAUUCCGCACUCUAUUGGAGCGGCCGAUAUCGGAUUAGCUUGUUGGGGGGGUAAAGGCUCACAAAGGCAACGAUCCGUAGUUGGUUUGAGAGGACGACCAGCCACACUGGGACUGAGACACGGCCCAGACUCCUACGGGAGGCAGCAGUGGGGAAUGUUGGACAAUGGGGGAAACCCUGAUCCAGCCAUCCCGCGUGUAUGAGAAGGCCUUCGGGGUGUAAAGUACUUUUGGCAGAGAAGCGGUAUCUGCAGAAGAAGCACCGGCUAACGACGUGCCAGCAGCCGCGGUAAUAC